CGGAGGGCGUAGCGUUGUUCGGAAUUACUGGGCGUAAAGCGCGCGUAGGCGGGUAGUUCAAGUCGGGGUGGAAAUACCCGGGGCCGUCAACCCCGGAACCUGCCUCCGAUACUGGAUGCCUGGAGGACGGGAGAGGCGAGUGGAAUGCCGAGUGUAGAGGUGAAAUUCGUAGAUAUUCGGCGGAACACCCGUGGCGAAGGCGGCUCGCUGGUCCGUUUCUGACGCUGAGGCGCGAAAGCGUGGGGAGCAAACAGGAUU
This 258-nucleotide ribosomal RNA is filed under the name uncultured bacterium. RNAcentral describes it as "partial 16S ribosomal RNA". It matches the Rfam family "Bacterial small subunit ribosomal RNA", at positions 526 to 779 of the family's 1533-position model. The record is from RNAcentral.